This 301-nucleotide ribosomal RNA is filed under the name uncultured bacterium. Its description in RNAcentral is "partial 16S ribosomal RNA". It matches the Rfam family "Bacterial small subunit ribosomal RNA", at positions 509 to 809 of the family's 1533-position model. The record is from RNAcentral.
CAGUCGCCACGGUAAUACGAAGGGUGCAAGCGUUAAUCGGAAUUACUGGGCGUAAAGCGUGCGUAGGCGGUUUGUUAAGUCUGUUGUGAAAUCCCCGGGCUCAACCUGGGAAUGGCAAUGGAUACUGGCAAGCUAGAGCGUGUCAGAGGAUGGUGGAAUUCCCGGUGUAGCGGUGAAAUGCGUAGAGAUCGGGAGGAACAUCAGUGGCGAAGGCGGCCAUCUGGGACAACACUGACGCUGAGGCACGAAAGCGUGGGGAGCAAACAGGAUUAGAUACCCCAGUAGUCCCUGUCUCUUAUAA